Marmota flaviventris (yellow-bellied marmot) is the source of this 3962-nucleotide long non-coding RNA. RefSeq lists it as uncharacterized. The record is from RefSeq and is a predicted model, not a curated record. Lineage: Eukaryota; Metazoa; Chordata; Mammalia; Rodentia; Sciuridae.
AUCUUGGGGGCUGUUUAUUUGAAGUUUUGUGUCAGUAGGGGACUAGCAGGAAACAGAUGGCCCAGUCAAACUGGGUGAUGGAGGAAGUUUAAGAAAGGGACCGUUUGCAGAGACAUGGGCUGGGUUCAGGGAAACCAGGAGACUGCAGGCGUGGUGGUGGGUGAGGGGCCGUCACCACCUCUGGGCCUGGAAAGCAAGGAGGCGGGGAGGCUGGACCCCAGAGGCAGCUGCAGGAAGAGGGCCACGUGGCAGGCACUGUAGCUCUCCCAGCCCUGCACGGGGCCAUGCAGCCAGCCUGCCCCUCUGGAGGUGUGCCCAGGAGGAUUUGAUUUACCCCCCAAUUCUUCCUCAAAUGUGUCCCAGUUUGGACAGUAAAUAGUUAGAUCAUCCAGGCAAGGGCACCCGUUAGCCCAGUCCACUUGGAACAGUCUCAGGAGAAAGAAAGCAAAGCAGAAGGGUGGAGAGCACAGGUGUGGGGGUGGGGGGGCACAGGGGAGCAUGGAAGACCUUCAGUCUGAGUAUUUCCUGCUCAUUGAUCCUGAAGAAAUCUCAGGGGGUUGGCUGGAAAGGGUCACCCCUGGACUCAUGUUCUAGAAGGACACCCUGUUUGGAACUUCGCUUCCCAAAGGCAUGGAGCCAGACCCUAGGACUUUUGAUUUCAAAUCCUCCCCCUUCCUUUUUUGGUGAGGGGAUGGAACCUGGGGACUCCUUCACGCUAAUGCUGUAUCACUGAGCUACGUCCCUGGCCUUUCAAAUUUCUGCUAAGAACACCUCUCAGCAUCUUCCCAGUGCAUCGUAACUAAAAUUACCAGGUGGGACUCCAUUCAUCCAGGAGAGGAGCACACACCAAUGAAGGACUCCGUUUUCCACCUGGCAAAAUACUUGGCCCUGACGGCACAGGAUUCUGAGCAAGAUUGCUCCCCCUCGAGAGCAGCCAAGACCUGGGGUACAGCCAGCAUUACAUUCUGAUUUUUUUUUUUAAAGCAAUGGUUUCCCUUCUGUGGACUGUGAAGAGAGGGUCCUCCAUGGAAUCCACUGUAAGAGAUCCUUACAUCCUUGUGAACCAGAAAGCCUUGGGCUAUGGUUUGGACAUUCCUACCAAAACUCAUGUUGAAAAAAUUUUUAGCCAAAUCCUCAGAAGACUGUCCAGGCAGGUGCCAGGUGCAGAGCCGAGACACAGCAAGAGAAAGGGGCCCAGCUCUGUCUCCCAGGCCAGGAUCCAGGACAACAGUGGCCCUUCAUGUUCCAGGCAGCCUUGAGCAGCCGGCAGAUAAAGUCCACGUGCAGGAGCUGAGGUGGAGUGAGGCCCGUCAGCUGGGCGUGAGGUUGGACAGUCGUGGACAGGAGGAAGCCACCGUUCUGUGAGCGUUUAGUCCUCACGUGAACCUGGAGAGCGUCUCCCAUGAGCUCAUUCCACAGGGAAAGGGACGAGGCUAGGAGAAGCCAUGCCAUCUGCUCAGGUCACAGAGCCAGUGGGGUGCAGCUGGGCUGUGGAGCUGGAGCUGCCCUUCAGGCCUGGAUGCCCCCCAACCCCCGCCUCUGUGACCUCGAGUUCCUCUGGGCCACAGCCAGGAGACACUGGUGUUCAUGUGACGGGGGCUCUGCUUUAUGUUUCAGCCUGUGGAGCUGUGUUCCCACAGGUCCCAUCAUGAGGCCAGAGGCCAGAGGUCAGAUCAGAACCCUGGGCCUGGGUCCAAGGGGAGACCCUUCCACCCACUGCACGUGUGGCUUGCGGGCAUCCUCAUGUCUGUUUCUGCAACCCGGAGCCUUUGUGGUCAGUCCUCGAGGCCAGGCCCCUCAGCCCUCUGGCUUGCAUAGCAUCGAAUGACAGAAGCAGCCACCUGGAAGGAACGCGUGUCCUCUUACAUGGGUCUCCUCCUGACCCCCACAGUGGAUGCUAUUAGUACCCACGUUGUGCAGGUGGGGACACUGGGGUAUGGCAGGUGAAGUCAUUCGUCUAGAUCAUCCUGGGGGGCUGGAGCCAGUUUCCUACAGAGGUGAUCCCACUCCAGAACUCCUAGGGUGCUGUCCCUCCAGCCCUGCAAUGUCAGCUGUGGACGAGCAGAGCCCAGGGCUGUCUCCACUGAGUUCCAGGUGUCCUCGUGGAUGCCUGGUACACAGUGCGGCUCAGCAGGUAUCACGAAAUGACAGACUGACUGUCACGGCCCUGCCAAGGACGCUCUGGAAGAGCUGUCACCUGCAGGUCCCCUUCUCUGGCCCUCUCUCUGGAGCUCGCCUACUUCUGUUCCUUGACACCAUUUAUGGGAAGCAGUGUUAAGUUUACAGCCUCGUGAGCAGCGGCUCCGCGGGGUCCGUUCCCACAUCGGCUGCCGCGGGAUCCUGGCAGCUUUUUUUGGGUCGUUCAUUUCCCCUGCGGGGCACUGAUGGCUGCCCCAGACCCCUCCUGGGAUGUGGACUAUUUUGCAUUUGUAAGCUACCACCUUUAUGGAAAGGGCCUGUGGGAUUGGGGUGUGCCGUGACCACUUGUUCCCCUGCAGACAGUGUCAAGGCCACCUUCACCUGAAAAUGAAUGCACGUGACCAGCAGUGUGACAUAGAGAAUGUCCUUGUGGCACUGGAUGUUCACGCAGGACUCCAGUGAGGCUGGGUGUGUGAAGCAUGCCAGGGGCAGGGGGUUGCUGAUGCCAAGGAUUGUCCUGCAAGAGUUUACAGUGGGGUGGGGGAAGAAAAAGGAGGCACCCUUGUGUGGGGACAGGCAGGACAGGAAGGGGGGGGAAGGCUGGGGGCUUGAGGACUCUGCCCUUCCACAGCCCCCACCCAUCAUCCUACCCUACCCCAGUCCCCCUCAGCAGGACGGCAGGUGGAGGGAAGUUUCCAGAAUACAGUUCCCCCCGGUCUGUGCCAGGUCCCUUCCCCAGCUCCGCUUGAUCCCACAGCAUGGCUACGAGAAGGUUGUUACUGAUUUAUUUUGCAGUGUGGGAAACUGAUGCUGACCACUGCCACUGCCAGGUGACCCAGUCAUCAACCAAAUCAAGGUUUGUCUGUGGCCGGAGUUGCCCUUCAGCCUCGACCACCUGCAUGCUGACAAUGAAAGACACCCAAAUCCGUGACGGUGACCAUGAGGACCUCUUUCAUGUCCUCCGGUCUUUUUGUUAUGUGGGCGAUUCUCCAGUCUGCUCCCUCUUGGGGUUCAGCGAGUAAAACCUCUUUAAAAUGUCAAGGAAUGGGGCACUCACUGCAGGAAAUGGAGUUCUCCGUGAUGGAUGACCUUGGGGAGGACGGAUGCCCCUGAAAGUGAUGGCAGGCACCAAAAAAGGAAGGCCCCUGGCGGGAGGAGGGAGAGGGCCCCAGGAGAGCUGGCGGAGAGUGAGUCAUCCUAACCACCAGUGGGGGAAGCCCUGGUGUUUGUUUGUUUCCAUGGCUACCCGCCCACCCUCCCGCCUGCAGGGCAGCCUUCAUUUCCUCUGUGAUCCUGUGUGCCCCGGGCAGCCCUUUCGCUAGUCAAAUAUUUGCUCAGUGUUUCCACCUGCCCAUGUGCAGUUAAGGCCAGGUUCUGCUGCUCAUAGGACACGGACACCCCCAGCGGCCCAAGACCUGGUUAUUUUUCUCUCACCGUCAAGUCUUCAGGUUGGCCUUGCAGGGCUGGUAUGGAGUCCCUUGGUGUCACCAGGGUCUGGGCUCUUGUCUCCCUGCUCUUCCUUCCACCUGGGACUUCUUGAAGAAGGUGGGGAAAGAGCCUUUUCCAAAUGAAGCAGCUUUUUAAGAACCGCCUCCUGAGGCACCCAAAUCAUGCUUCUCCUUGGCCAGUAUUUGUUCACCUGCCCACAUUUCAGGGGUGGCUAAGAAACACAGCUAUAUUUUGAGGAUUGCUCACAGCAAUUUGCACAUCUAAACACAAGGACUUACUAAUGGAUGGUUGGUUGUUCCAACAGGCAGAUGCAUACAGGUCAAAUCUGGCCACAGAUGCUUUGUCAAUAAAGUUUUAUUGGUCUACUGCCAAGA